Molecule: long non-coding RNA, 396 nt
Filed under: Oryza sativa Indica Group (long-grained rice)
Lineage: Eukaryota; Viridiplantae; Streptophyta; Magnoliopsida; Poales; Poaceae
Description: lncRNA OsMH63_12G008220
Source: RNAcentral
UUGGUUGUAUGCGUUGAUCCUAUCCGCCUCGGACUGUUCGCGGCCACGUGCCUAUAUAUAAACCACGUCAGCUUCCCACCGGCCGCAGGAAGAAUCGAUCGCGAUGGAGAUUAUGCAAUAGCUCGCCGCCGCCGCCGCCACGGCAACGGCCCUGUGGAGGCCUCCAUCGCGACGCUGCAUGGCAAGAAGCAGCACCUCCGCGAGGCCUACAGCCUUGUCCUCCACUCGCCCAUCCUCCUCCCCUUCCGUUGGUCCGACCUUGACUCCCACGGUCCCACCUCUCCUCCCUCCAAUCCUGCACGCCCGCUUCCGCCAGCUGCCCUCCAGGCUUCCCUCCCCGCGGCCCCCGCCGCCGCCGGGAGCCACGGCGAGGACGUUGAGAUGGAGGACGUCUAG